Molecule: long non-coding RNA, 1524 nt
Organism: Vicia villosa (hairy vetch)
Lineage: Eukaryota; Viridiplantae; Streptophyta; Magnoliopsida; Fabales; Fabaceae
Exons: 3
Source: RefSeq, a predicted model, not a curated record
UGAAUAUUUUACGUAACAGUCGGUUCAACUUCACUAUCUGACUACUAUUGUUUAUGUAUAUGAGCUUAUAGUAUAAUGACACGUAACCCACAAUUUCAGGUUCUGUCUGUUGUCAUAGGAGCCUAACCAACCAAUAGCCACUCAGCUCACAUACAGACUGCCACAUGGCUUAACAUUCUCCAUUAUUGGUGUGAUUCAAACAUCUCACUUUCUCUUCUUUGUCAUCAAUGUCUCUUAUUAAUUCCACUACAAUUUCCCUUACUUUGUUUUUUCCUAGUUAUGUUAACAUAAGCAUCUACUGUGAAUUGAUAUUUAGUUUGGUUAUCAGGUACAUCAAGUUUGACACAUUCACUCCUGCAGCAGAACGCGGACUUCCAGUCACUAGAGUUAUUAGUAGAAUGGCUUUACAAGAGAUUCUUGCUUGUGCAGUAGGGGAAGAUGUCGUUAUGAAUGCCAGUAAUGUUGUCGAUUUUGUUGAUCAUGGAACUAAGGUAUUUAAAGAAAACUUUUAUGUUGAAGAUACUCUUCAGAUUGCUAUCAUAGAUAUUAUUUUUAAGACUAAUAUGAUUAGACAUUAUUUGGCUUAUCACUUGUGUCAACCCACAUUCAUCAAUUGUAUUGUAAGUAACAGUGGUGUUGGAGAAUGGUCAUAAAUAUGAUGGCGAUCUCUUGGUUGGAGCAGAUGGGAUUAGGUCCAAGGUGAGGACAAAGUUAUUUGGGGCAACAGAAGCUACAUACUCUGGAUAUACUUGUUAUACUGGUAUAGCAGAUUUUGUGCCACCUGACAUUGAAUCUGUUGGGUACCGAGUAUUCUUGGGACACAAGCAAUAUUUCGUAUCGUCAGAUGUAGGUGCUGGAAAGAUGCAAUGGUAUGCAUUUCACCAAGAACCUGCUGGCGGUAUUGACACCUCUAAUGGUAUGUGCUCGUAAACUAAAAGUAACAACUGUCACAGGAUUAACUAUAUUUUAAGAACCGAACCAGAUGAUUUAAGUGAUUGAAUCUUGAACUAAAAUUUACUACCGUUCGUUAUUUUUGAGGUUUGAUCGCAAUUUGAGCAGAACAUGAUCUAGAAGUCUAACCGGUUUGACGUACACUUAUGUAAUCAUUCUAUCUUAUGUAAUAUAACCCUCAUUUUAUCUACAACAUUAAUGUCUACACUUUUCUUAGUAUUUCAACCUAAGAAUGUUUGGUCUAAUAAUAUUCUCUCUGUUGCUCAUUAAAAAAAACAUUGACAAUGUUCAUGUUUAGAAAUGAACAAGAGUUUAAGGAAUUGCCAAUAGCAUAUUUAGUUUUUGGUGGAUUGUUUUGUUAAUCUCACCCCAUCCCACAAGCAAGUCAUGCAUAUGUUUGAUCUUCAUUUUCAGAUCUUAUCUCAUUUAAUAUGAAACUCAUAACAGAUACUAAACAAUCACAUCAAAUUUCAGGAAAUUGAUAAAGUCAGUUUCAUCUAUACUGCAUAAUCCUCAAAAUUAUUUCAAGCAAAAAAAGCAUAGAAAAUACAGAAAUGAACUUUCAUACCCUUA